UACGGAGGGGGCUAGCGUUGUUCGGAAUUACUGGGCGUAAAGCGCACGUAGGCGGAUCAGUCAGUUAGGGGUGAAAGCCCAGGGCUCAACCCUGGAACUGCCUUUAAUACUGCUGGUCUGGAGGUCGAGAGAGGUGAGUGGAAUUCCGAGUGUAGAGGUGAAAUUCGUAGAUAUUCGGAGGAACACCAGUGGCGGAAGGCGGCUCACUGGCUCGAUACUGACGCUGAGGUGCGAAAGCGUGGGGAGCAAACAGG
RNAcentral lists this ribosomal RNA (254 nucleotides) under uncultured bacterium. RNAcentral's name for it is "partial 16S ribosomal RNA". It matches the Rfam family "Bacterial small subunit ribosomal RNA", at positions 524 to 776 of the family's 1533-position model. The record is from RNAcentral.